Molecule: long non-coding RNA, 537 nt
Filed under: Homo sapiens (human)
Lineage: Eukaryota; Metazoa; Chordata; Mammalia; Primates; Hominidae
Description: HSALNT0017819
Source: RNAcentral
GCGCGCUCCUGAUGUCGGAGGCGCCCACUCUGCCGGGCGGCGGCGGCGCACACGCGCGUGCACGUCGCUGCGUGGCCGCGGUUGCGCCGGGAGCGGAGGAGUGAGGUCCUGACAGAACCAGAGCUGUUAGAGCAGGGACGCGCGAAAGGCGGGAGUACGGGCGGCGCUGGAGAACCUCCGCGGCGGAGGGGCCUGGGGGUGGGACCGCGCCCGCGAGCCCGCCCUGACCGGGGUGUCUGUGUGCUUGUGAAGCGCUCCCUUGUUAGUUCCUUCUGUGAGACUCGGGGGAGACUGAAGAGGGAAAUCACCUGCGGGGAAUGAACAGGAAAGCAAUAAGAAGAUUUGGAAAAGAGGCACUGGCUACUGGAGGAAGGGAGAAAUCACCGAGAGAGCGAAAGAUGUAACAGAAAAAAAAGGCCUUAUGAAGACAUUGCAAAAGGACAACUAUCUGCAAACCAGGAAGACAGACCUCACCAGAAAUCAACCCUGCUGGUGGUACCUUGAUCUUAGACUUCCAGCCUCCAGAAGUAUGAGAAA